AAUUCUCAAUCUUCUACAGCUUUGUUAAGGCUAGUGAGAUUGGAAGUGGGGGUUGUUGUGGGUUCACCUAACUGAAUCUACUCCCCUAAAAACUAUUAGCUGGAAUGCCUUUGCAAAACCAACUAUCAGUAUGAUAAUUAUCUAUGCUGGAGUUGUUGUAAAAGGGAAUCUGCUUUCAAACUGUCAUCAUGACAAAAUGAAUCA
RNAcentral lists this unclassified non-coding RNA (204 nucleotides) under Conocybe mesospora. RNAcentral's name for it is "partial internal transcribed spacer 2". Lineage: Eukaryota; Fungi; Basidiomycota; Agaricomycetes; Agaricales; Bolbitiaceae. The record is from RNAcentral.